Drosophila innubila is the source of this 450-nucleotide long non-coding RNA. RefSeq lists it as uncharacterized. The record is from RefSeq and is a predicted model, not a curated record. The transcript has 2 exons. NCBI's taxonomy places the organism in Eukaryota, Metazoa, Arthropoda, Insecta, Diptera, Drosophilidae.
GUUUGUAUAUUUCAAUUGGAAAUUUUACAAGUCUCGUAAUAAUUUGUUAAAAAUAAUAUGAAAAUUUGAGCUCAAAGUCUUUAGCCAUUGGAAUGGAUCGCGUGUUGAAUGUGAAUGGAACCCAGGUGAUGAAUACAGUUGCAAAUGGAAAGUUUCUGGAUUUUAUUAUAAGUGCAUCCACACAGCUCUUCAAAUGGCUGCUAAGCAUCUGUUGCAGUUAUGUGGAUCCCGAAAAUAUGCUACAAUACAUGGAUUAACAGAUAAAAGAUCCUAUCUAUAAAAGAUUAAAGAUCGUAUCUAUAAAAGAGACCAUUAAUAUGAAAGAGACCAUAGUGAAUACUUGGGUUCCAUUCUCAAGAUUGUUGGAAAAAGCGCCAUUCCAGUUCUUCUAUCUUCUUCCAUCUAUGUAUAGAGAAGUAUAUAUAUUAUAAUAAAAGACUUUGAUUAUAU